CCUACGGGUGGCAGCAGUGGGGAAUAUUGGGCAAUGGAGGAAACUCUGACCCAGCAACGCCGCGUGAAGGAUGAAGGUUUUCGGAUUGUAAACUUCUGUCGCGAGGGAUGAAGAAUGACGGUACCUCGUAAGACAGCCCCGGCUAACUACGUGCCAGCAGCCGCGGUAAUACGUAGGGGGCAAGCGUUAUCCGGAUUUACUGGGUGUAAAGGGAGCGUAGACGGUGAGACAAGUCUGAAGUGAAAGCCCGGGGCUCAACCCCGGGACUGCUUUGGAAACUGCCUGACUGGAGUGCUGGAGAGGCAAGCGGAAUUCCUAGUGUAGCGGUGAAAUGCGUAGAUAUUAGGAAGAACACCAGUGGCGAAGGCGGCUUGCUGGACAGUAACUGACGUUGAGGCUCGAAAGCGUGGGGAGCAAACAGGAUUAGAUACCCCAGUAGUC
Molecule: ribosomal RNA, 441 nt
Filed under: uncultured bacterium
Lineage: Bacteria
Description: partial 16S ribosomal RNA
Rfam family: Bacterial small subunit ribosomal RNA
Source: RNAcentral